GAUUUUAAGGCUUUAGGCAAAACAACUCAAUUUGAAGACGAAAAUACAAGUACGAGCCUAAAAGCAAAUAAUCAAUUUCAGUAGUGCUAGAAGCAUAAAUGGAAGACAAGCCCAAGACAUUUAAUGGUAUUGUAUCCAUUAUAGCUUCUCUCGGGCAAAUGGAAGACACUCACAGCAGGAAGUGCCAGCGCAGUGAAAAGGGGAUGGAGAGUAGCCAAAACCUAAGGCACACUCCCUGGCUGUGUGACCUUAAGUAAG
Molecule: long non-coding RNA, 258 nt
Filed under: Pan troglodytes (chimpanzee)
Lineage: Eukaryota; Metazoa; Chordata; Mammalia; Primates; Hominidae
Description: long non-coding RNA NONPTRT012941
Source: RNAcentral